GAUGAACGCUGGCGGCGUGCCUAAUACAUGCAAGUCGAGCGAACAGACGAGGAGCUUGCUCCUCUGACGUUAGCGGCGGACGGGUGAGUAACACGUGGAUAAUCUACCUAUAAGACUGGGAUAACUUCGGGAAACCGGAGCUAAUACCGGAUAAUAUAUUGAACCGCAUGGUUCAAUAGUGAAAGACGGUUUUGCUGUCACUUAUAGAUGGAUCCGCGCCGCAUUAGCUAGUUGGUAAGGUAACGGCUUACCAAGGCAACGAGGCGUAGCCGACCUGAGAGGGUGAUCGGCCACCCUGGAACUUAGACACGGUCCAGGCUCCUACGGGAGGCAGCAGUCGGGAAUCUUCCGCAAUGGGCGAAAGCCUGACGGAGCAACGCCGCGUGAGUGAUGAAGGUCUUCGGAUCGUAAAACUCUGUUAUUAGGGAAGAACAAAUGUGUAAGUAACUAUGCACGUCUUGACGGUACCUAAUCAGAAAGCCACGGCUAACUACGUG
RNAcentral lists this ribosomal RNA (497 nucleotides) under uncultured bacterium. Its description in RNAcentral is "partial 16S ribosomal RNA". It matches the Rfam family "Bacterial small subunit ribosomal RNA", at positions 28 to 507 of the family's 1533-position model. The record is from RNAcentral.